CGCAGCGCGCAGCUGCCUGCGCGGGAAGGGCCCAGCAGGGCCGGGCGCACCCUGGCAGCGGGCCGUGUGCAGCCAGCACGGGCGGCGGCGCCCGGAGGCGCUCAGUGACCCCGGCUGGGGUGCGCCACGUUGAGGCAACGCUUGUGAUCGCAGAGACUGCCGUUUGCAGUCGUGGGGUCUUGUGCACUUUAAUGCCAACUUCAAUUUCGUGUCACUGUAUCAGCUUUCUUUUUUUGCCGCUGCCUUCUUGCCCUUAACAUGAACGUGAUAGUGAAGUCGCUGGCCUAUUCCCAGAAGAUGGGAAAGACAUUAAAGAUGAAGGAUUGAGAGUGGGAGACUCACAACUUAAGUUUUUGAAAUAUUCUGCAAAAUGGAUUCUGUGAUAACCAUAUGUUCUGACAUAUAAUUUCUAACCAUUUCAGAAGUGGGAUAAAUGGAGCAUUUGGAAUCGGUAGGGAGGAUGGCUGACACCAUGCACCUUGCCUGGUAUGGUUCUGCUGUGGAGGAGCCUUCACGCUAAAGAAAAAAAAUGUUGAAAACUUUACGGUCCCUUUCAGAGGCAAAAAUCCUUGUUUCUGGUGUAUGUGCUUCCUGACUUUCUUGGUGCUGAAU
This is a long non-coding RNA of Falco peregrinus (peregrine falcon), 612 nucleotides long. RefSeq lists it as uncharacterized. The record is from RefSeq and is a predicted model, not a curated record. The transcript has 3 exons. Lineage: Eukaryota; Metazoa; Chordata; Aves; Falconiformes; Falconidae.